RNAcentral lists this ribosomal RNA (406 nucleotides) under uncultured bacterium. RNAcentral's name for it is "partial 16S ribosomal RNA". It matches the Rfam family "Bacterial small subunit ribosomal RNA", at positions 30 to 526 of the family's 1533-position model. The record is from RNAcentral.
AUUGAACGCUGGCGGCAGGCUUAACACAUGCAAGUCGAGCGAGCGGCGGACGGGUGAGUAAUGUCUGGGAAACUGCCUGAUGGAGGGGGAUAACUACUGGAAACGGUAGCUAAUACCGCAUACCAUCAGAUGUGCUCAGAGGGGAUUAGCUAGUAGGUGGGGUAAUGGCUCCCCUAGGCGACGAUCCAUAGCUGGUCUGAUAGGAUGACCAGCCACACUGGAACGGAGACACGGUCCAGACUCCUACGUGAGGCAUCAGUGGGGAAUAUUGCACAAUGGGCGCAAGCCUGAUGCAGCCAUGCACAGUGUUGGAAGAAGGCCUUCGGGUUGUAAAGCACUUUCAGCGAGGAGGCGUUACGCGCAGAAGAAGCACCGGCUAACUCCGUGCCAGCAGCCGCGGUAAUAC